CUCGGGGACGGGCAGCGUCGGUCGGCGGGUGGAGAUGGUGCCUCUCUGAGCAAGAAUUACUAUCCCCAAAAUGCUCCUGACCUUUUACAGCACCGUCAUGGCCUCUUACUUGGGAGCCUGGUACCCAGCUUCCCUGUGUGUUUACUCUGUCUUUCAAGCCAACAGCUCCCAAAGGCAAGCUUCACUGGGGAAGAGCUGUUUGACAAAGGACACAGUGGUUGAUCCUGUUUCAGUACAGAUUUCUGUGAAACUAUCUGCAGCAGACAGAGAAAAAACAUGCACGACAAAAUCCCACGCGGAGAAUGCAAAGUCAACAGGUUCUUUUGCUCUUCCGAU
Phalacrocorax carbo (great cormorant) is the source of this 336-nucleotide non-coding RNA. NCBI's taxonomy places the organism in Eukaryota, Metazoa, Chordata, Aves, Suliformes, Phalacrocoracidae. The record is from RefSeq and is a predicted model, not a curated record.